CAGCUGUAAACUAUGUGCGUUAGGUGUGUCAGUGACCACGUGUCACUGAGGUGCCGAAGGGAAACCGUGAAACGCACCGCCUGGGGAGUACGGUCGCAAGGCUGAACUUAAGGAUUGGCGGGGGGAGCACCACAACGGGUGGAGCCUGCGGUUUAAUCGGACUCAACGCCGGGAAUCUCACCGGAUAAGACAGCUGAAUGAUAGUCGGGAUGAAGACUCUACUUGACUAGCUGAGAGGAGGUGCAUGGCGUAGACGUCU
RNAcentral lists this ribosomal RNA (259 nucleotides) under uncultured archaeon. RNAcentral's name for it is "partial 16S ribosomal RNA". It matches the Rfam family "Archaeal small subunit ribosomal RNA", at positions 748 to 1009 of the family's 1478-position model. The record is from RNAcentral.